AGCAAACCUGACCCAUGAAUUUUUCUUUGGCUUCCUAUUUGGUGUUGUGAUCUCUUUCUACCACCCAUGGUACCACCAGUGUCAUCUGCCAUGAGGUCACAGAGUUAAGGGGGACCCUUGCCAGAGCCAGCACUGUACAGUUUGGGCUCUCAGCUUCCGAAUCUGUGACCUAAAUCUUUUUUCGGUAUAAAGUUAGAUUGCCUCAGGUAUUUCAUUAUAACAACAACAACAACAACAAAACACACAAACUAACACAAGUCAAAAGGCAACAGGUGUGUACUAAAAGGGAUAAUUUGAAAGACAUGGAGAAAAAAAGGCCAAGAACCAUGAUCAGGAAACCACAGAUGGUAUUAAAAUUGAGGAUGCAUGCUGCUCUUGACCAGGAUGGCAAGCAGGCCGUGGUAACAGCAAGGAAGGGACAACUUGGAACUUGAUACAGAGCUAUUGGAAAUAACCAAAGCAGUUUUCAAACAGUUAAAUUUUUGUGUGUGUGGUGCUGGGGAUCAAACCCAAGGCCUCAUGUAUGCUAGGCAAGUGCUCUACCAUUGAGCCACAUCCACAGCCCUAUAUAGUUUAUUUGAAUGUCUACAUAGGUCGUAAAACAAAUCAAGAAUAUCCAGUUCAGUGCAGAGUUUGUGAUUGGCUUCUGUAAAAACAGUUGGCAUCAAGGUAGUGCUUGAACCUUUGACACCUAACAAAGAAAGUGAACCAAGAGAAGUGUAGAUAAGAAUAUUCACUGGGAGGUUACUCUGACCAUAGUAAAGUCUCACUAUGAAGAUAAGCAAGGUGGAAUUGACCACUACACACAGAAUCAUAUAGAUAAAUCCUGCAAUAAAAGAAUCAAAUUGUUCUUUAAUGCUUAUAUAAGAA
RNAcentral lists this transfer RNA (870 nucleotides) under Marmota monax (woodchuck). The record is from RNAcentral. Lineage: Eukaryota; Metazoa; Chordata; Mammalia; Rodentia; Sciuridae.